CCUACGGGAGGCAGCAGUGAGGAAUAUUGGUCAAUGGACGCAAGUCUGAACCAGCCAUGCCGCGUGCAGGAUGACGGCUCUAUGAGUUGUAAACUGCUUUUGUACGAGGGUAAACGCAGAUACGCGUAUCUUUCUGCAUGUAUCUUACGAAUAAGGAUCGGCUAACUCCGUGCCAGCAGCCGCGGUAAUACGGAGGAUUCAAGCGUUAUCCGGAUUUAUUGGGUUUAAAGGGUGCGUAGACGGUCGGUUAAGUUAGAGGUGAAAUCCCGAGGCUCAACUUCGGAAUUGCCUCUGAUACUGUCAGGCUAGAGAGUAGUUGAGGUAGGCGGAAUGUAUGGUGUAGCGGUGAAAUGCUUAGAGAUCAUAAAGAACACCGAUUGCGAAGGCAGCUUACCAAGCUACGUCUGACGUUGAGGCACGAAAGCGUGGGGAGCAAACAGGAUUAGAUACCCUUGUAGUC
This 460-nucleotide ribosomal RNA is filed under the name uncultured bacterium. Its description in RNAcentral is "partial 16S ribosomal RNA". It matches the Rfam family "Bacterial small subunit ribosomal RNA", at positions 338 to 795 of the family's 1533-position model. The record is from RNAcentral.